AGACAGAGAAUUCCAUGCGGCAAUGGCUGUCAGCAUGUGCCUGUAACAUAUGUCUCAACGUUCUCUUCCUUAAGUGUGACCUAUUUUUGUCUUGCCAUUUAAACGUUGAUUGUUGACGUACUGUACAAUGGCCGAUUUAGAUGAUUUUUUUGCCAAGAAGGACAAGAAGAAAUCUAAAGUCAAAAAGUUCACGGCUAGUGAUCUGAUGACUUCAUCUAAAUUUGGAGAAGACGUGGCAGCCCCUCCGACCGGUGUUCCCAAGAAACAACCAGCAGCAGAAAGGCCAAAGAAAGAAGAAGUUACUGUACAGGAAACUGUAGAUUCUGAAGGUGUUUCUGUCAAAAGCAAACCCACUGUUGAAGUGGAAGAGGAAGAAUGGGGUGAAUUUGAACAAGAGAAGGAGCGUGAUUAUUCUGGCCUUAAAAUCCAGAAACUGCAAAUCCAAGACUCCGAAGAUGACUAUGGAGAUGAAUCUGGUGAAACAGAGCUGAAUGAAGAGGGAGAAAUUAUUAAAAAGGAACCUGCAGGACCUUGGAACAAGAUCAAUGCUCAGCCAACCCCUACUGCUGUCAAAGUUAAGGAAGCAGCAGUGGAAAUCCCUACUCCAAAUACUUCAGGAGGUGUUUAUAUUCCACCAACGAGAAGACUCCAGUCUGCUGGUGGAAGUAGCUCAAGCUCAUCUGCUGCCUCAAAAUCACGAACUGGCAAAAAGGAAAAGGGUGCACCAGACUUGAGCAAUCAAGAAUAUUUCCCUACACUGUCGGCAGCCGUAGCUAUUGAGCAAAACAACUACAAACUCAAGAAACAUUAUUGGGAAAAACUCGAAACAUCAACAAAAUUACCAGUGCAAAAACUAUGGUUCUUAGUCUCUCCUUGCUGUUUCACGAUCUAACAAGGGAUGGUGGAAGUCGUAUUGAUCGGCAGUCAGAAGAAUUUCUUAGUGUCAAGGAAUUGGCCAAAGAAUUGGCCAUGUCAUUUGGACUCGAUACGGUGAAAAAUCGCGAAGCUAUCACCGCCCUUCGUAGAGACGGAAUUAUUUUUGCCACAAAUCCACUCGAGAAUCCAAAUAAUCAAAUUGGCCCUCCUCUUAAUUUAGCGUUUCUUGAAAUUUGUGGCGAGUUUUCAAACAAACUGUUAAAACAAGACAAAAAGGUGGUUUUACAGUUUUUGGACCGAAUGCUGAUCAUGGGUAGGCUUUCACCUCGUCGAGAAUGGGAACCUUUCUACCGGAAUUCCUUGGUUAAUGGCGAAACUGAUCCACCUCCGCAUUCUGUCAGGAGCGCUAACAGACGACGUCGUCGUGAUACAGGUGGAGACGACGGUGAAAUCGCUGAUAACGAUGAUGGAUCAGAUCACGAAUUUUGCCGAGUGCGGGUAAUGUUACCCUGUUUGACUUCAGCAUUUGAGUCUUGUGAAUGAAUGAAGUGAAUUCGUAGUAACAUAACAUGUACGUGUAAAAGUUUCAUUUCAUUUUUUGAUAAAUUUCCAGUGUUAACGCAUCUUAUCUGCGAUGAUUUUAGGAAAUGUUAGUUUUUAUUAACGUUUGGUGAGGUGCUUUGUUAUUUAUUCUUUUGGCUACUGAACUGCGACACGUAAAUUUCCAUUUUAACAAUGGAUCCUGCUGUUAGAUUACGUACGAUCGCACUUGUUGGAUUCUCUAGGAUAAAUAAACACAGUUGACAGUU
This 1685-nucleotide unclassified non-coding RNA is filed under the name Daphnia pulicaria. Its description in RNAcentral is "protein CDV3 homolog, transcript variant X2". Lineage: Eukaryota; Metazoa; Arthropoda; Branchiopoda; Diplostraca; Daphniidae. The record is from RNAcentral.